GUUUACAUUUUGCAUUAUCAGCAUCUGCGCGCGCCGCGUUGUUCUCCGUUCUCCGCUUCUUCAUCAGUUGCGUUUUUUCCGCCGGGUCGUCUAAACAUGUGAUGUAAACAAACCGUUCGACCACAUGGUUUAUCAGUGCAGCGAGUUCGCGAUUUUCCUAACGGUAGGCCACAAUCGUCUGUCCUGAAUUCGCGUGGUGCGUGGUUUUUACUCACAGAAAAGUGUAGUGCUCCAUCGUGGGGCAGAUUUCUUCCGUAGAUCUUAGUGUUGUAGAAAACUGAACCGCUCUUUUCGAACGCGGGAAUUUUUCGUUGUCUUUUUCGGUGGUCCAAUGACUUGGACCUCACUGAAGUUCAAACUAAACGUCUCGUGAAUUUUUUAGUGUUUCUCUGAUAACCUUCACAGGAUUGUGUGUUCAUAAUUUUCCGUUCGUCCUAGCGUCGUGCGUUAAUACUAGCUUUCAUCAGCAUGUGCAUAGUUUUGAAUCCGUGAAUCCGAAUUGCGUUGUACUCAUGUGAAAAUGGAAAACCUAUCGGCUCCCUGCUUCAAGUACGACUCAGAGAUCACAGACUGUCACCUUUUCAGGAGUGAAUACGCUCGCGACUUGGCGAUGGACGCCUCUCAUCAGAGCAAAUCCCUAGAUUACUCCUUUCGCGAUUCUCCCAUCCGUGAGGAGAACGAGACGAAAUCUUGGUUCCGAAAAAGUUCGUUAUCGUCACCGAAACCCAGUCCGCGAAGUGCAUUCAUGGAUACCUCUAAUCGUGAUUGCUCCAAGUUCUAUCCGCGCAACAGUGAAAUCACCAAGUUCAACAAACUGAGAAAGGAUACCGCUAAAUUAUUGGAUUCGAGGAAUGGUGACAUACUGAUGAACAGCCGUGAAGAAUCGUUGGAGGACGAAGUUUGUCGUCUUAAAAAGGUAAAUAAUGCAGUUUUGACUUCCCGACGAAUUUCUUCAGUUGACUGUGAGUGGUUUUUUUAUCCCCAUUUCUUGUUUUGUGAACUAAGCAAGUCGCAGCAGUUCACCCCUAAACUUUUAAUGAAGCACUACUUGAUGCCGUGACGCAACCCUCCUAUGUUGUCCUAUGUUGUUUGAAAGUUUUCCACUUAUCUGAAUAUUUAAGCGCUUGAUACAGUGAUACACAUGAGAAUCUUCAUGCUCAUGUAUAAUGGUUUCAUGCAGUUCUUGAGAUAAAUCAGUUUCUCUAGCACAAGAGCAUCCCAGAAAAGUUCCCAGAUUUACCUUGAAGGUAAAAAUUGAUGUUUCACAACCGAUAAUCGACACAAUAAUAUUUUAACCCCUUUGACGCAAGUAAUUACUUUUUUUGACACAGCGUCAUUUUUUCUUUACGCAAUAAGAAACUUCCAAGGAAAAAACCCGUGUUCUGGUGAUAAUAAACUUUAAUAUUCCUCCCACGGAGAAAAAGCUUAAUUCAUGGGACCCGUAGUUCAAGUCACAGAUAGUACUUCGAUAUACUUCGACCAAAACUCGUAUUGGGGGUCAACGGAAGUACUGACGUAUUUGUACAUCGGAAGUGUUAAUUAAAUUUUGGCAGCUGGACCUCCUUUAAGAUGAACGAUCCAAAAACUUCGGAGAUCCAUAUGACAUGAACUUUAGAUUCCGUGCACGAAGUUUUUAAAUCCGUGUGUGUAAAAUAGAAAUACAGAGCAAACAUCGUAAAAGUAACAGUUUGAUAGAGCAAGAUUUUUUUUCUCUCUACAAUUUUCAAAACAGGUAUCACUGUAAGGUAGCAUGGUUGACCUUUUUUGAACAAUUAACGUAUCAAUCCAUCAGUUUUUCAACGGACAGAGGGACUUCAAAUCCCUGAAACGGCUCUAAAAAUACGACAACCUCGCGACAAAGUCGAAGCCUCGCUGUUUAAUUUCCGAAGAAAGUUGAUUUGGAGUCGUCGGAGCUCUUGCAGCGGCAAAGCGUGAAAAGUUAGCGAGUUGAAGAGUAAUGGGAGAUAGUUUUAUUGGCGAGAACCUAUUAGAAUAGUUCCCAACUAAAUGAAGCAUCAGGUUCCUGAGUGGCACGAGCAUUUCAGUGCCCCGGCUCGUGGGCAGCCGUUGCAUUUUCAACAGAAAAUAUUCAAAAUUUGACGUGGAUCUGUAAAAAGCUCCAUUCGAAUUGACAACGACCCUCGCGGACGGACGCUAUGGAUCAUGAGUGAUUAACAGUAGAAUCCCUUGCCCUGUUGUCAGUUUUGCCUUUUUACUGAAGUGGAAGUGAAAAACGAAGUCAAAUUGCCUAUCAGUGGUUUUUAAUUGGGUCAAAUUCAGAAAGGUUGGUUUUUUUUUUAUGUAUAUAAAUUUCUUUCUUUAUCUUUUGGCAAAAAAGGAUUGUACUUGAUAAGUGCUUGAAAAAAAGUCCAUAAGGAUAAUGCAGUUAAUUAUUUUAUCUUCGUUGAGCUCUUCCCAGCACUGGAAAAAAACACAUUGGAUCUAAAGUCCAGACUCUUAAAAACAUCGACUAGAAAAAAUACUCUUGAUUCAAUCAGAUUUAAGCUUAAAUCAAGAACCAAGCCUCUUAAUUUGAGCGGAUUUCCUUUUGAUUUAAGCUUAAAUCUGAUUAAAUCAAGAGUCCUUUUUCUUGUUAAUGUUUUCAAGAGACUGGACUCUAGAUCCAAUGGGUUUUUUUCCAGUGUGGGUUCAGACUGGCUUCAAAUUGUCCGAGUGUUUUGUUUGGGAACAAACCCAUUUAGUAUUUUUAAAAAAUAAUAAAUAUUUCGUCUCUUUUACACUCAACAGAUGUACCGGGGACCAAAAUCUAUAAUCUCCCCCUCUCUCUAAAGUAAUGUUUGUGGGAUCAUUGCUUCAGGCAACAGUAGGGUAGUUUUUCAUGGUGCUCCAGUAAUCAACUCAGUUGGGGUUUGGGGGUACUUGGGUACGUAUCUUAGACCAUGGCAGCAAAUUCAAAUUUCAAAAGCGGCCAUGUCCGCUCGCAAUUUCUCCAAGAUCCCUCUCUGGCAUCGACGCCCGAGUUCUCGUCAUUCUCGUUUGGGUCGACGGCAACUUUUCCCGAUGGUGGCGUCGGGCGUCGCGGCGCUUAGCGCGGGCGCCCUGAAAUAGGCCACGUUCGGAUAAAGGAUUACGGCCGCGGCGCGGGGUAAUUGCCGCGGAGUAAUUAACCGGUGCCCGCGCUUGGGCUUCGAAACCUCAUCGCAACUCCAACUCGAAGACUCGAAGGUCGUCCAAGAAAAAGAAACCAGUCGGUGACGCGCGGAGUCCCGGAUUCUACGGGCCACCGUCACCCGAGGGACUCUUCUCGCUAUUUCUACAAGUGCAAUGAGAUAAUUGUGAAAAAAUUCUAUCAUUUACAGGGUGUCUUGAGGAUAGACGGCCGGACUGCAGGAGUUUGUGCCAUGGGUCCAAAUGGUCGCAUUUUUGCCAAACGGAAUUAUGUGCAUAAGAAUAUAUGCCUAGCAGGGCUCACGUCAUUAUGCACAUAGUCCCGUUUGGCAAAAACACGUCCAAAUAAGAUUUCUUUCUUCAAAAAAGUCUCCCCCUCCUCAAAUCCUGAAAUUUUUGACCUUAGACACCCCUCACACCUCCCUCCCCCAUAAAAAAUUUCUUGCGGAGCCACCGGAAGAAGGGGGAGUGCCCAUUAUUUAUGAGUUAUGGUCUUAACCGUCGCCGACAUUCGGAAUUACAGAUGUGUAUACAUCAAUUUAAUCAGGUCAUUUAAUCUGUACGGAAUAACUGCAAAGUUUAGCAACUUGACAUUAAUAAAGAGCUUGAUGCAAAAACGACGUAUUCGCCCCCCUCUGAAAUUUCUUCCAGCAUCGUCUAUCAAUUACUCAUACUUGAGUGCUUCUUUUGCCAAAUUUUUAGACCCCCAAAACGUUUUGAGGAGCGCUAGAGGGGAUGGAAGUCAAAGCCAAAACUGGGGGGGGGGGCGAAAAACGUCGUUUUUGCAUCAAGCUCUUCAUUAUUUUAGUUAUUGUCUAAAGACUGCUGCCUGUUAGUUGCGUCUUAGACAUUUUUCUUGAACAGCGUGCAAUAACCCACUAAAGUAUUUCCAUUCUCGUAAUCACCUGAGACUGCCUCAUUGCGCGCAGUAGCGCAGUGAUAACCUCAAAAACAGUGUCACUGAGUGUCACGAACGAUAAAUUUGUGAUUACCAACCACAGUCCACAGUGCGGUAUACCUCACAACUUCGUGCCAUUCAAGCUGUUGUCAUUUGACUUACGUACUGGCAGGAAAUAGUUUUGUUUUUCAUAAACGCCAUUGCACAAUUUUCCCUCCACGAGGAGUCAAAACGUUUAUUGAAAAAUUUAGUUGAAAGCACGCUCACUGCUUCUGUUACUGACCUUCUGUGAUACAGUAUUGCCUAAU
Molecule: long non-coding RNA, 4335 nt
Filed under: Bemisia tabaci
Lineage: Eukaryota; Metazoa; Arthropoda; Insecta; Hemiptera; Aleyrodidae
Description: lncRNA ENSSSA1UGG003995
Source: RNAcentral